GACGGAGGGUGCAAGCGUUGUUCGGAAUUACUGGGCGUAAAGCGUACGUAGGCGGCGGGUUAAGUCGAAUGUUAAAGCCAGAGGCUCAACCUCUGAGAUGCAUUCGAUACUGGCUUGCUAGAGGGUGAUAGAGGAAAGUGGAAUUCCCAGUGUAGCGGUGAAAUGCGUAGAUAUUGGGAGGAACAUCAGUAGCGAAGGCGACUUUCUGGGUCACACCUGACGCUGAGGUACGAAAGCGUGGGGAGCAAACGGG
Molecule: ribosomal RNA, 253 nt
Filed under: uncultured bacterium
Lineage: Bacteria
Also listed under: 1 other name
Description: partial 16S ribosomal RNA
Rfam family: Bacterial small subunit ribosomal RNA
Source: RNAcentral